Molecule: long non-coding RNA, 600 nt
Organism: Poecilia reticulata (guppy)
Lineage: Eukaryota; Metazoa; Chordata; Actinopteri; Cyprinodontiformes; Poeciliidae
Source: RefSeq, a predicted model, not a curated record
CCUAUGCGCUCCUGUAAAGCCUGUCAAAAAUGCACAUAUGAUGACCUACUAUCACUUCUAUUUAGUUGUUUUCGCAGUAAAAAUGGUCACAGGGUACUGUGCGAUCGGCUGCACAAACAGACAAGGAUAGAAAAUUUGUCAUUUUAUUGUAUAACUUUUAAUGAGGAAUGCUGCUGCGGCGAUGGAUAGCAGCCGUCAAUCAUAAUGACUGUCAGCCCUCGGUGUAACCGCGGAUUUGCAGCUUUUUACAAGAAAUACGAACAGACCAGCAACUUGCUUUGAUGUGUUUGACGAGGCAAAAUGAACCUUUAUUGCCCCGUAAAGGAGGAAUUCAGAUGUUCUCCAGAGACAGGAGUGAAACGCUGAUGACUCUCUGCCGUCCUCAUCACACUUUGCAGAGACUUCCUUUCAGCUGCAGUGCAGUUGCUGCUCAAUGCUGUGAUGCAGCUCGUUAGAUGGAUGGGAAAUUCUCACUGUCAGCCUCUUAGGGAAGUGAAUCAUUUAGUUUUGGUCAGGUUUUAAGACUCCAAAAGAUUUGUUCAAUCAUCUGGAUUCCUCAAAAGUCUCUAUCAGACAGUCGCUGAUUUUCAGGGUGGUGUA